GCCUGUGUUGCUCAGUGGUUAGAGCAUCAGGCAAGUGACCAAAGGGUUGCCGGUUCAAUUCCCGGUCAUGGGCA
Myotis lucifugus (little brown bat) is the source of this 74-nucleotide non-coding RNA. The record is from Rfam. Lineage: Eukaryota; Metazoa; Chordata; Mammalia; Chiroptera; Vespertilionidae.